ACAUCUAAAUACAUAAAUUAUAUUAAUUAAAAAAUAUAUAAAUCCAUUCAUAUAAUACAACGAUACAGUGAAUACAAUGAAAUACAUAGUAUACAGCAAGAUACUUUAAAAUACAAUAAAAAAAGACAAUAAAUAUAAUGAAAUACAUAUAAAAUACAACGAGAUACAUUGAAAUAUAUUAACAGAAAAUUUAAGUUGCUCAGCCUCAAACUCCAUCGUCUUUGUUCAAGAACAAUAUCUAAUAUUUAUUUUCGCUCAAUUUCCCUGUACGUUUCUAGGCCAACAGCACUGGCACUGAUCUAUGGGCAGAUGGCAUGUAAGUAAAGCCAUUUUCUCUAAAGGAGUGGAAAUAUCAUCAAGAUCUAAGCAUUGAAAAGGUAAAUGAAUAAGAAAUUCCUUAUUUUCAAUAGCAGAUUGUCUUCAAAAAGAAAUACAAGUUUGGAAAGGAAAAUACCAGUAUCACUCGCAUUGAUUGAGAACACUUUAAAGAAAUGGGGAUACAUGUUCGCCACUUAUUCCUCAAAUAAAACUACAAUUUACAAACUUCAAUUGAGACAGAAAAAUAGCCUCCAGAUUGUUGAUUCCAUGAAACUGAAAAGAAGACCAAAAAAAGAGAAAUUUCCCCAGCAUUUCAUAGGCUAAGAAACGUCUUCAUACUCUUCAUUAUAAAAGUGAAACUUAUUAGCAUCAACCAGGGUGGCAUAUCAACGGCCAUCAGAAUGGCGUGGAUUUUUCUCUAUAGGGCUUGAUUUUGACAUUGAUUCAGAGCACCAACCCAUUGACAAUGAAAAUUUCGUGAGACAAUGAGAUGAAUCAGUGGAAAAUAGUGGUUGUAUUCAUGGAGAAAGAUGGGAUUGAGAGAAAGAGGGGUGGGAAAAAAUAUGAAAGAAUGACAAAGAAAUAAUACAAAAAGUAUUUUAUGGCUUAAGGGUAGGAGGUAACCAUAAAUAAAUAUUUGGCUAUAAAAAUCAAAAUACAUCUAUGGAAUAUAAUUUAAAAAAAG
Molecule: long non-coding RNA, 1003 nt
Filed under: Nicotiana benthamiana
Lineage: Eukaryota; Viridiplantae; Streptophyta; Magnoliopsida; Solanales; Solanaceae
Description: long non-coding RNA (NBEN_LNC027655)
Source: RNAcentral